RNAcentral lists this ribosomal RNA (495 nucleotides) under uncultured bacterium. RNAcentral's name for it is "partial 16S ribosomal RNA". It matches the Rfam family "Bacterial small subunit ribosomal RNA", at positions 28 to 507 of the family's 1533-position model. The record is from RNAcentral.
GAUGAACGCUGGCGGCGUGCCUAAUACAUGCAAGUAGAACGCUGAAGGAGGAGCUUGCUCUUCUGGAUGAGUUGCGAACGGGUGAGUAACGCGUAGGUAACCUGCCUGGUAGCGGGGGAUAACUAUUGGAAACGAUAGCUAAUACCGCAUGACAACAGUUAUUGCAUGAUAACUGUUUAAAAGGGGCAACUGCUCCACUACCAGAAGGACCUGCGUUGUAUUAGCUAGUUGGUGAGGUAACGGCUCACCAAGGCGACGAUACAUAGCCGACCUGAGAGGGUGAUCGGCCACACUGGGACUGAGACACGGCCCAGACUCCUACGGGAGGCAGCAGUAGGGAAUCUUCGGCAAUGGACGGAAGUCUGACCGAGCAACGCCGCGUGAGUGAAGAAGGUUUUCGGAUCGUAAAGCUCUGUUGUAAGAGAAGAACGAGUGUGAGAGUGGAAAGUUCACACUGUGACGGUAUCUUACCAGAAAGGGACGGCUAACUACGUG